GGAAGGGGAUAUGGCCCGGUGGCCCUGUCAGUCUUCAAAACUGUGCUGCCCCGAUGUUGCAUCGGGGUGGGUGGGUUCGACUCCCUCCUCCUUCCGCCA
This 99-nucleotide transfer RNA is filed under the name Deltaproteobacteria bacterium. RNAcentral's name for it is "tRNA-Sec". It matches the Rfam family "Selenocysteine transfer RNA". The record is from RNAcentral. Lineage: Bacteria; Pseudomonadati; Myxococcota; Myxococcia.